GACGAACCGAGCGAACGUUGUUCGGAAUCACUGGGCUUAAAGGGCGCGUAUGCGGGCUGCCAAGUUUGGGGUGAAAUCCUCCGGCUCAACCGGAGCAGUGCCUCGAAUACUGGCGGUCUCGAGGGAGGUAGGGGCGUGCGGAACUGUGGGUGGAGCGGUGAAAUGCGUUGAUAUCCACAGGAACUCCGGUGGCGAAGGCGGCACGCUGGACCUUUUCUGACGCUGAGGCGCGAAAGCCAGGGGAGCGAACGGG
This 253-nucleotide ribosomal RNA is filed under the name uncultured bacterium. Its description in RNAcentral is "partial 16S ribosomal RNA". It matches the Rfam family "Bacterial small subunit ribosomal RNA", at positions 524 to 776 of the family's 1533-position model. The record is from RNAcentral.